Myotis lucifugus (little brown bat) is the source of this 103-nucleotide non-coding RNA. NCBI's taxonomy places the organism in Eukaryota, Metazoa, Chordata, Mammalia, Chiroptera, Vespertilionidae. The record is from Rfam.
CGUGCACUGGUGGGGUCCCUCAGCCUGGCCUGUGGACAAUCCCCCAAGGGGUCCCGAAUUGCAAGAGGGUGCAGGCCAGGCUGAGGGACCCCACCGGUGCAUG